RNAcentral lists this ribosomal RNA (73 nucleotides) under Oleiphilus sp. HI0122. RNAcentral's name for it is "partial 16S ribosomal RNA". It matches the Rfam family "Bacterial small subunit ribosomal RNA", at positions 1 to 68 of the family's 1533-position model. The record is from RNAcentral. Lineage: Bacteria; Pseudomonadati; Pseudomonadota; Gammaproteobacteria; Oceanospirillales; Oleiphilaceae.
AGAUUAAACUGAAGAGUUUGAUCAUGGCUCAGAUUGAACGCUGGCGGCAGGCUUAACACAUGCAAGUCGAGCG